This 442-nucleotide ribosomal RNA is filed under the name uncultured bacterium. Its description in RNAcentral is "partial 16S ribosomal RNA". It matches the Rfam family "Bacterial small subunit ribosomal RNA", at positions 338 to 795 of the family's 1533-position model. The record is from RNAcentral.
CCUACGGGUGGCAGCAGUGGGGAAUAUUGGGCAAUGGGCGCAAGCCUGACCCAGCAACGCCGCGUGAAGGAAGAAUGCUUUCGGGUUGUAAACCUCUUUUGUCAGGGAAGAGUAGAAGACGGUACCUGACGAAUAAGCCACGGCUAACUACGUGCCAGCAGCCGCGGUAAUACGCAGGUGGCAAGCGUUGCCCGGAUUUACUGGGUGUAAAGGGCGUGUAGCCGGGUUGACAAGUCAGAUGUGAAAUCCUGCGGCUUAACCGCAGAACUGCAUUUGAAACUGUUGUUCUUGAGUACUGGAGAGGCAGGCGGAAUUCCUAGUGUAGCGGUGAAAUGCGUAGAUAUUAGGAGGAACACCAGUGGCGAAGGCGGUCUGCUGGACAGCAACUGACAGUGAGGCGCGAAAGCGUGGGGAGCAAACAGGAUUAGAUACCCUUGUAGUC